This 1789-nucleotide long non-coding RNA is filed under the name Homo sapiens (human). Its description in RNAcentral is "HSALNT0250298". Lineage: Eukaryota; Metazoa; Chordata; Mammalia; Primates; Hominidae. The record is from RNAcentral.
CUUGGCUGGAGAAGUCAUUAUUUAUAGGACUAUAGACCAAGUUUCAUGUCUGAGAGGCUCUUACGUUAUUACAUAGAAACAAAAUUUUGUUAUCUAUAAGAAUGAUUUGCGUCUUUCUCCUUACGUUAGUAAUCCUAAGAAAAUAUUGAAAAUGAAUCAUUCUUUAAAACAAUUAAACAAUUUACUGAUUAUUUUCACCACUAUAUGAUGCACAUGUGCCUACCAAGAAAUCAGAUAUUUUCUUGUGUGUAGCUUCAUUCAAUAGAGUAAAAUAGAAAACUUUUAUUAUUAAUAAAAAUGUGAAAUUCCAUGUCAUAUACUAUGAUGUAUAAUCUUCUAUGCUUCAUUGUGUCUAUCCUUUAGCAUCACCAUUGACUGACUUCAAGAGUACACUUUCCCCUUACAUAGCUGUGCUAGUUGCUACAGUCUUUGAAAGAUGCUGGAAUAUAUGCCUGCUUGGCCAAUUAGUCCCCAAUAACUCUUCAGUGCCAUAGUACUGUGUGUAGAGAAAACCUCAAUGAAAAGAAAAUGGACAAUCAAGCUGGAUAAAAUACAUCCCUUAAAUGAGAACUACGCUAUGUGAAAAAAAAAUAGAAGAACAAGUCCUCAGCAAGUCAAUGAUCAUAAGAAAAACAGUUAUAUUGACUAGUUAUUUUGUGUGUUUGAUGUACAAUAUGGAGAAAUAUUAGUAGCCAAAUGAAUGUGACACAUUGACACAGAUGCAUUGUAAAUAUUAUGCUAUUGAGACCAUAGAUUCAGUUACAUUCCUCUGAUGAAUGUGGAUGCUUUCAUUUCCUGUUUUAGAAGGCAACUAACCUGAUUAAUAUCAAACUGCAAGCUCUGCCUUGUUUGCAGUAGGUGACUGCUCAAAUUGUAGUUAUUUUAGCCUCAGCUCUGAGAUAAUUUGUUUCUGUCCUGUUUUUCCCCCAACAAGUAUGGUUCAAGGUUCACAUACAGACUUGGCCAGAGUUCAUAUGCAGACUUUUAACUGCCUUCUUCCCAGGAUUUCCUCUCCAUUUUUGGGGUGGGUGGGCAGUGGGGUGCUGUGGUUGCACUGGGUCCUGUCAUCUGGUUCUUACCAACACAAAAUAUGAAGGUUUUUAAAGGAGUUUCAGUUAUUCUAAUUAUCCUGUACCUUAAGUUGUCUUUCUAAUACCUAGUGCUGGUUUCUUCUAAAUGUCAAAUCUCUUACAAAAACUGUUCUGUCUCAGGAAUUGUGUGUGUGUGAUUGUGCAUAUUCAGACUUUAUAGUUGUUACCUGCAUGACUGUCAGUCUAGUAGGAAUUCAUUCCAGCCUACUAGAAGAAAAAGUUUAUAUAUCAAUUUUGCAGAAAAAUAAUCCAAAUUGUAUAGGAUAUUACUCAAAAAGAAAACUUCGGAAAAGUUGUUUAAAUUUAUAAUCUUUUAGUUUUAAGCAAAUAUUUGUUAAACAUGCUUACUUCUCAGUUAGUGGAACAGAAGAAAAAAAAUGUAAUGUCAUCCCUGAACUCAGACACACAACACUUAAGAAAUUACAUUCAAAACAUAGGUGCUUUAACUUGAUAAGUACUUUAAAUGCAAUGCUAUAUCCAUUGUUUUCAAUGAACAUAGCAACAUUUUACAUGCACAAUAUAAUAAUGUGGUAAUUGCCAGAAAUAGUCCCUUUUUGCAAAUAUUUAAUGUAAUUCUACAGGAAAAAAUUUUAAGGCAGUAAAAUAAAAUGUAUUUCACGAUCUGCAAUGAUGUGUACCUUACUUUAGCCUUUUACUGCAACUAACUUCAGCAAAUAAAAUUUGGUGAAUAAUCUGUA